This is a long non-coding RNA of Alligator mississippiensis (American alligator), 630 nucleotides long. RefSeq lists it as uncharacterized. The record is from RefSeq and is a predicted model, not a curated record. NCBI's taxonomy places the organism in Eukaryota, Metazoa, Chordata, Crocodylia, Alligatoridae. The transcript has 2 exons.
AUAAAAGCUCCCCCGUCGCAGUGCUGCUUAUUCACUCAUUAUCGCUUCUCCGCACCUGUGCUUGUGGCUGAACAGGCUUUGCCUAGGCCAGAAAGAUGUGCUCCCACGGGUCCUGCCACAACCGCCACAGGUCCUGCCAUGGCUCUAGCUCUCACUGCCAUGAAUCCAGACCCUCCUGCAAUAUUGUUGUGGUAGAGAAGCCAUACUGCUGCCCCGUGCCGCGCUACUAUCCACCCGUGUCCUGCUGCUACCCACGCUACCAGUAUUCGCAGUGCUGCAAGUUCCCACAGUACCCCAAGUGCCCUCCACAGUACCCCAAGUAGGAUAACUACAAACAGCAAGACAGAAGCCAAGACCUUUCUGUUGCAUUCUUCUUAUGGAGCUGGUUUGAGUGCCUACAGCAUGUCUUGUCUUGUUGCAAAUUCAUUUUUCCCCUCUCAUUUAAUUUGAUUUAGGAAUGUCCCUAACAUGCUUUGAAGACUUGCCCAUUGUACGAGUGUGAUGGACUUCUUCCUAAGAACCGCUUCUGGUGUCACUUACUGUUAUUCUUGUGCAUGGAACAGGAAUAAUUUCUGUACUUCUUCCUUCACCUGGAUAUGAGAUGCAAUAAAACUUAUAAUUCAAGAAAAA